GCCAGGUGUGGUGGCGCACACCUGUAAUCCCAGCUAUUUGGGAGGCUGAGGUGGGAGGAUUGCUUGAGCCUGGGAGGUGGAGGUUGCAGUGAGCCGAGAUCAGGCCACUGCACUCCAGCCUGGGCGACAGAGCAAAACUCCAUCUCAA
This 148-nucleotide signal recognition particle RNA is filed under the name Homo sapiens (human). Its description in RNAcentral is "Metazoan signal recognition particle RNA". It matches the Rfam family "Metazoan signal recognition particle RNA". Rfam says of the family: The signal recognition particle (SRP) is a universally conserved ribonucleoprotein. It is involved in the co-translational targeting of proteins to membranes. The eukaryotic SRP consists of a 300-nucleotide 7S RNA and six proteins: SRPs 72, 68, 54, 19, 14, and 9. The record is from Rfam by way of RNAcentral. Lineage: Eukaryota; Metazoa; Chordata; Mammalia; Primates; Hominidae.